RNAcentral lists this signal recognition particle RNA (97 nucleotides) under Glaciecola petra. Its description in RNAcentral is "signal recognition particle sRNA small type". It matches the Rfam family "Bacterial small signal recognition particle RNA". Rfam says of the family: The signal recognition particle (SRP) is a universally conserved ribonucleoprotein involved in the co-translational targeting of proteins to membranes. Archaeal SRP consists of a 7S RNA and homologues of the eukaryotic SRP19 and SRP54 proteins. The record is from RNAcentral. Lineage: Bacteria; Pseudomonadati; Pseudomonadota; Gammaproteobacteria; Alteromonadales; Alteromonadaceae.
CUCUGGUUCUCUCGCAAUGAUAGCUUGGAAACCCGGUCAGGCCCGGAAGGGAGCAGCCGUACUAAGGGACUCAUGUGCCGGGAUGUGGCUGGAGUUU